Molecule: ribosomal RNA, 484 nt
Filed under: uncultured bacterium
Lineage: Bacteria
Description: partial 16S ribosomal RNA
Rfam family: Bacterial small subunit ribosomal RNA
Source: RNAcentral
AUUGAACGCUGGCGGCAGGCCUAACACAUGCAAGUCGAGCGGAUGAAGGGAGCUUGCUCCUGGAUCCAGCGGCGGACGGGUGAGUAAUGCCUAGGAAUCUGCCUGGUAGUGGGGGAUAACGUCCGGAAACGGGCGCUAAUACCGCAUACGUCCUGAGGGAGAAAGUGGGGGAUCUUCGGACCUCACGCUAUCAGAUGAGCCUAGGUCGGAUUAGCUAGUUGGUGGGGUAAAGGCCUACCAAGGCGACGAUCCGUAACUGGUCUGAGAGGAUGAUCAGUCACAGUGGAAGUGAGACACGGUCCAGACUCCUACGGGAGGCAGCAGUGGGGAAUAUUGGACAAUGGGCGAAAGCCUGAUCCAGCCAUGCCGCGUGUGUGAAGAAGGUCUUCGGAUUGUAAAGCACUUUAAGUUGGGAGGAAGGGCAGUAAGUUAAUACCUUGCUGUUUUGACGUUACCAACAGAAUAAGCACCGGCUAACUUCGUG